GUGGUGAUCGAUGUUCUAGUGAAAUUGCAAUUAAGUCUUCUUUCUCCGUUACCUUGUUGGGAUAGUCAUACUUUCAGUUUAAAACGAUUGAACAUUUAGAACAUAAAGGAACACAAUGUCUCAAUUCCUCAUGUUUAACUUAAGAACAGAUAGUAAGAUCAUGUUUUUUUUUUAUUUUGAUGCAUUAAAGAAAUUGCCAACGUUAUACUGGUGUAAUAAAAAGUACUCCAUACGUGUAAACUCUUCUUGGAU
RNAcentral lists this long non-coding RNA (252 nucleotides) under Mytilus galloprovincialis (Mediterranean mussel). The record is from RNAcentral. Lineage: Eukaryota; Metazoa; Mollusca; Bivalvia; Mytilida; Mytilidae.